UACGUAGGGUGCGAGCGUUGUCCGGAAUUAUUGGGCGUAAAGAGCUUGUAGGCGGUUUGUCGCGUCUGCUGUGAAAAUCCGGGGCUCAACCCCAAGCCUGCGGUCGAUACGGGCAGGCUAGAGUUCGGUAGGGGAGACUGGAAUUCCUGGUGUAGCGGUGAAAUGCGCAGAUAUCAGGAGGAACACCGAUGGCGAAGGCAGGUCUCUGGGCCGAUACUGACGCUGAGACGCGAAAGCGUGGGGAGCAAACAGG
This 253-nucleotide ribosomal RNA is filed under the name uncultured bacterium. Its description in RNAcentral is "partial 16S ribosomal RNA". It matches the Rfam family "Bacterial small subunit ribosomal RNA", at positions 524 to 776 of the family's 1533-position model. The record is from RNAcentral.